Molecule: ribosomal RNA, 425 nt
Filed under: uncultured bacterium
Lineage: Bacteria
Description: bacterial SSU rRNA
Rfam family: Bacterial small subunit ribosomal RNA
Source: RNAcentral
GGGGAAUUUUGGACAAUGGGCGAAAGCCUGAUCCAGCCAUGCCGCGUGCAGGAUGAAGGCCUUCGGGUUGUAAACUGCUUUUGUACGGAACGAAAAAGUCUUCUCUAAUACAGGGGGCGAAUGACGGUACCGUAAGAAUAAGCACCGGCUAACUACGUGCCAGCAGCCGCGGUAAUACGUAGGGUGCAAGCGUUAAUCGGAAUUACUGGGCGUAAAGCGUGCGCAGGCGGUUAUAUAAGACAGAUGUGAAAUCCCCGGGCUCAACCUGGGAACUGCAUUAGUGACUGUAUAGCUAGAGUGCGGCAGAGGGGGAUGGAAUUCCGCGUGUAGCAGUGAAAUGCGUAGAUAUGCGGAGGAACACCGAUGGCGAAGGCAAUCCCCUGGGCCUGCACUGACGCUCAUGCACGAAAGCGUGGGGAGCAAAC